GCAGUUAUAACUCCGUGACAGAGUGCAUGUUUUACAUGCACAAGGUGCUGGGUUCAAUCCCCAGUACCUCCA
Camelus ferus (Wild Bactrian camel) is the source of this 72-nucleotide transfer RNA. It matches the Rfam family "tRNA". From Rfam's summary of the family: Transfer RNA (tRNA) molecules are approximately 80 nucleotides in length. Their secondary structure includes four short double-helical elements and three loops (D, anti-codon, and T loops). Further hydrogen bonds mediate the characteristic L-shaped molecular structure. tRNAs have two regions of fundamental functional importance: the anti-codon, which is responsible for specific mRNA codon recognition, and the 3' end, to which the tRNAs corresponding amino acid is attached (by aminoacyl-tRNA synthetases). tRNAs cope with the degeneracy of the genetic code in two manners: having more than one tRNA (with a specific anti-codon) for a particular amino acid; and 'wobble' base-pairing, i.e. permitting non-standard base-pairing at the 3rd anti-codon position. The record is from Rfam. Lineage: Eukaryota; Metazoa; Chordata; Mammalia; Artiodactyla; Camelidae.